RNAcentral lists this ribosomal RNA (72 nucleotides) under Bacillus sp. HNG. RNAcentral describes it as "Bacterial small subunit ribosomal RNA". It matches the Rfam family "Bacterial small subunit ribosomal RNA", at positions 1 to 72 of the family's 1533-position model. Lineage: Bacteria; Bacillati; Bacillota; Bacilli; Caryophanales; Bacillaceae. The record is from Rfam by way of RNAcentral.
UUAUUGGAGAGUUUGAUCCUGGCUCAGGAUGAACGCUGGCGGCGUGCCUAAUACAUGCAAGUCGAGCGAAUC